This 450-nucleotide ribosomal RNA is filed under the name uncultured bacterium. RNAcentral describes it as "partial 16S ribosomal RNA". It matches the Rfam family "Bacterial small subunit ribosomal RNA", at positions 354 to 796 of the family's 1533-position model. The record is from RNAcentral.
GUGGGGAAUUUUGGACAAUGGGCGCAAGCCUGAUCCAGCAAUGCCGCGUGCAGGAAGAAGGCCUUCGGGUUGUAAACUGCUUUUGUACGGAACGAAACGGUCCGGGUUAAUACCCUGGGCUAAUGACGGUACCGUAAGAAUAAGCACCGGCUAACUACGUGCCAGCAGCCGCGGUAAUACGUAGGGUGCGAGCGUUAAUCGGAAUUACUGGGCGUAAAGCGUGCGCAGGCGGUGCUGUAAGACAGGCGUGAAAUCCCCGGGCUCAACCUGGGAAUUGCGCUUGUGACUGCAGUGCUGGAGUACGGCAGAGGGGGAUGGAAUUCCGCGUGUAGCAGUGAAAUGCGUAGAUAUGCGGAGGAACACCGAUGGCGAAGGCAGUCCCCUGGGCCUGUACUGACGCUCAUGCACGAAAGCGUGGGGAGCAAACAGGAUUAGAUACCCGAGUAGUCC